GAGAGUUAAACAGUACGUGAAAUUGUUGAAAGGGAAACGAUUGAAGCCAGUCGUACCUUCGGGUAAUCAGCCUUUCGGGUGCGAUUAUGUGGAGUGUGAGGAGCUUAAACACCUUCAUGUUUUGCAUAUUCGUACUCUUGGGUGUACUUGCCCGUGUGGUUGGUUAACAUCAAUUUUGGUGGUCAUAAAAUGACUGGGGGAAUGUAGCUUCGAUCUUGUAUUGAAGUGUUAUAGCCUUCGGUAGAUGUGAUGAUCGAGAUUGAGGAUUGCAACGGAUACCUUUCGGGGCUACCUGUCUGAUCUCUGAUUGUUGCUUUGGUGCUGAAAGCGUGCUUAUAGUUAUCAAAGUCGAUGGUUAAUAGGUUAGAAUGGGUUAAAUUCGUUAAGGAUGUUGACGUAAUGGCUUUAAACGA
This 413-nucleotide ribosomal RNA is filed under the name uncultured Rhizophagus. Its description in RNAcentral is "partial 28S ribosomal RNA". Lineage: Eukaryota; Fungi; Glomeromycota; Glomeromycetes; Glomerales; Glomeraceae. The record is from RNAcentral.